Molecule: long non-coding RNA, 5363 nt
Filed under: Mytilus galloprovincialis (Mediterranean mussel)
Lineage: Eukaryota; Metazoa; Mollusca; Bivalvia; Mytilida; Mytilidae
Source: RNAcentral
CAUCAUAUCAACUUAAAUCUUAGUACAGAUACAUGUAUGUUAUUUAUUAAAUUAACUUUUGAAAAUAUAUGCCUAAUUAGGAACUUGACCCAGAUUUGCUUAUCACAGAAAACGGACAUAUGAUAGUGAGAAAGCAGUCAGUCUGUCCUAUGGUCACAUAUUCUUGUAUUGAAUAUUAGUUUAGUUCUUUUCAAACAGUUGAUACAUACCAAGUUCUUUAUUAUAGAACUUUUUAUCUAUUUUGGAGAUUGAAUUAACUAAUGGAAAACAAUUGGCUAAUGAGUUGAGAAAAAACAAGUUUCCAAAAUUUGACAUUUGGCUCCAAAGUAUGAUCUUUAAAAAAAUGUAUUUAUUGUGAUAAUAUAUUUGUGUUGCACAAUAUUCUGUUCUGUACAGGUGUGAUCCUCCUUUAUAUAUUGGGAUAUUGGUUUAACACUUAACAAAUAUUAACAUGGAUGUACAUAGUGUGAAGGGGUGCACAAAUUUUUAUAGUUUUAUAUACAAUUUUAAUUUAAUUAUGUCAGACUGAAAACUUUGUUGAAAGCAAUGGCUUAAAAAUAAGGAGGUGAUUGAUCACACAGUAGAACAUUUAAAAAUUUUCCAGUAAUUAACAUUUUGACGUUUGUGUUAAAGAGCUUUUCAAUUUCACUAUGGCGAUAAGCAAAAGAGUUAAAAGAAUUGUUGGGAAUAUAAUGUUACUAUCAUAUAAAUGUAAAGUACUAUCUUUAUGGUCAAUAUGGUUUUCAUAUACCAAAGGGGUUGGUACUUAUGACUUAAUAGAUUUGUAUAUAUUUUCUUUGUAAAUUGAUAACAUUUAUAAAAUAGUGGGAAAUAAGAUAACAACAGACAAUAAAAAUCAGGACAGAAGAGAGACAGAAGGAGUAUGGACAAAACAAAAACAUCCACAGAAAACGCAAACCCCUCAGAAUUAGAGGUGAACUCAAAUACUCCUGAUGUGAAAGCAGUUCUUUUUCACAUAGUGGCACCUCUUAUGUUGAUCAAAUUUAAUUGAAAAUCCCAUAAUCAAUCAAAUAGUGAAGUAAAUGCUCAAAAGUGGAUUGGAUUAAUGUUCAGAAAUAUUUUGUUAAUUACAAAGUUUAUUGAUUGUAGUGCAGAAACAAUGAUACAUAAUAUUUGAUUUGGGAUAUAACCAGUGUAAGACUGGAUUAUGAUUAUUGUAACACUUAUCAAGUUUAAAGUAUGCAGACUAAUUAAUUUUAGACAGUUGAUAAAUAACCCAUAUUUAAGUGCAAGCUGUUGACACAAAAAAAGAGGCAAAAGAAACUAAAUGAAUAUUCUAAGCCAUCUGUUGAAAACAAAUUGACAAUGCAAUGGCAAGAAACCAAAAAACAAGGAAAAUGCAAACAAAGGUAUACAAAACAUAAGAAGGAAUACUGAAGACUGAGCAACACGAAUUCCACCAAAACCAGGGGGAGGGGAUCUUAGGUGCUCUGGAAUGGAACUUUUUAAGCAUAUCCUGCUCCACAUGUGGCACCCCUUGUGAGAACAUUACAAUAACAGAAAGUAAACUAAUAAUUACAAUAGAAUAUAGAACAACUGAGUCAACUUUAUUAUUUAAACUAUAUAUAUUUAUUAACCAAUUCAUGCCAUUUUACAGGCGCCACCACCUGCCAAUGACCCAUUUGAUACCUUCUUUAAAUAAGUAAGUACAUCACACCAUAAAGAAUUAAAGAAAGAACAAAUUUGAAAGAGAAAAUAAGAGAUUUUGUCAUAAUCUAGAAACAAAUUCUUACUUAAGCAUGUUUAGUAAUUAAAUUUAUUCUUGUUAGUAUCAAGGUUCAUCCACAAAUUUUUUUUUUUUUUAAAGUGACUAUUUUUAUCAUACUUUGAUCUAAUUUAUGAAAUAACAUUUGUUGUUUACAUGUAUCACCAUUUGUGAGGGUCUAAAUGGGGUCCCUUAUAUAUUUUUGAAUUAUUUAGAGAAUUUUUUUCUAAAUUUUGUACAUUGUUGCUCGUUAUUCGUUAUUCAUUGUAUUUCUUCUCAUAUAUUUCAGGGGCGGAUUCAGCCAUUUUCUAAAGGGGGUUCCAAACCCAGAAUAAAAGGGGGUGUUGGUCCAACCAUAUUUCCCCAUUCAAAUGCAUUGAUCGUCCAAAAAAAAGGGUGGUUCCCCAUCCCCAUCUGAAUUGGCCAGUGUCCAUUUUGUUUUAUAUUUUGGCACCCCAUUAUUCUCUUGGCCAUGUAAGUACCAAGACACUUUGAAAAAUUGUUUUGAUCAUUAUUGAUUUUUUUAAAAUAAACUUUGGUUACAAUGUUGCUUUAUAUGUAAUAAUUCAAGAAAAAUACAAAAAAUGUUUUUAAAAGUAAGAGUUUUUUUCAUUAAAAGAAAAAUAAUUUUCAAAACUGAAUUGUGACUUUUUGUCUGUGAUUUUUUAGCUCACCUGACCCAAAGGGCCAAGUGAGCUUUUCUCAUCACUUGGCGUCCGGCGUCUGUCGUCGUCGUCCGUUGUUGUUGUUAAAUUUUACAAAAAUCUUCUCCUGAAACUACUGGGCCAAAUUUCACCAAACUUGACCACAAUCAUCAUUGGAGUAUCUAGUUUAAAAAGUGUGUCCGGUGACCCGGCCAACCAACCAAGAUGGCCGCCAUGACUAAACAUAGAACAUAGGGGUAAAAUGUAGAUUUUGGCUUGUAACUCUAAAACCAAAAGCAUUUAGAGCAAAUCUGACAUGGGGUAAAAUUAUUGAUCAAGUGAAGAUCUAUCUGUCCUGAAAUUUUCAGAUGAAUCAGACAACCGGUUGUUGGGUUGCUGCCCCUGAAUUGGUAAUUUUAAGGAAAUUUUGCCGUUUUUGGUUAUUAUCUUGAAUACUAUUAUAGAUAGAGAUAAACUGUAAACAGCAAUAAUGUUCAGCAAAGUAAGGUCUACAAAUAAGUCAACAUGAACAAACUGGUCAGUUGACCCCUUAAGGAGUUAUUGCCCUUUAUAGUCAAUUUUUUCAAUUUUCAUUAAUUUGGUAAAUUUUUGUAAAUUUUUACAAAAUAUUUUCCUCUGUAACUAAAGGGCCAAGUUUAUUAUAGAUAUAGAAAAUUGUAAGUAGCAAGAAUGUUCAGUAAAGUAAGAUCUACAAACACAACACCAUCAUCAAAAAACAAUUUUGUCAUGAAUCCAUCUGUGUCCUUUGUUUAAUAUGUGUAUGCACAUACAAUGUAGACAAAGGUGAGUGACACAGGCUCUUAAGAGCCUCUAGUUGUCUGAAAGUUUUUGUCUGACUAUUUGUCUGAAUUUUUGUCUGUGACUUUUUGUCUAUGACUUUAUGUACUGUGACUUUCUGUCCAACAGUUGUGAUAUAAUAAAUUCUUGACUAAUCAUGAUUCUUAUACUUUUUUCCAGAACAUUACUUAAGAUGUAGAUACCAGUCACCAGUCGACAGUCAGCUUUAAAAGAUAUUGUUAUUAGUGUUCAAAGAAAUUGUAUUAAAUCAUUUACUUUGUUUAUUAUAUAUGCAAUAUAAUAUUACAUACAAAACCUCUUUAGUUUUAUUAUGAAUUUAAUUUUGAAUUUAGAUUGUAUAUUACAAUUGUUCAUUCAUUUAUUUAUACACAUUAUAGUGAUUAAAGCAAAAAAAGUUUACAAUUACACAACUCAAUGGCAGGGUCACUUUAUUUUGGCAUUAGAUUAUUUCCUUUUUUUAUGUACUUUGUAGAAUUUUUGUCUGAUGAUUUUUUUCAAAAUUCAGCGAAGUGAAUAAAAUUCAAAUAAGAUUAUUAUGAGUUUACACCAUAUGCAUUGAAUUUAGUAUUUUAAAUUUGGUUUAGUAUAUUGUAAAAAAAAAUAAGUUUGUUAUGUUAUAGAAGUCUUUUAAGGAGGUAGACCUAGGUUAAGGGAAAUAACUCAUAAAAUCAUCAGUACGUUUGUGUCAGCCAUUUUCAUAAAUAUGUUCUAAGCAUCUUGGAUACAUAGAUGAUUUCCAAUCUGUUUCAGGUAAAUGCUUAAAAUUCAUUGACGAAACUUGACUUUUACAAAAGCAUAAUGAUUUAAAGAGUUACCUUCUACCCCCUUCAAGAAUUACAAGAACAAUUUUACAGUAUCAUGAAUUGAAAAUAUUAUGAGUCUAUUUCUAUGCAUUUUGAAAAACACAGUACACAUGUACUAUUAACAUAAACAGUGCCUUUACAAUUUUUUGAGUAAAAACAGUAACAGAAUAUUUUUGUAUUGAUUGUUUAUUUGUUGUUUGGGUGUUUUAAGUAAAAUCACAAGUAGAUAAAGUUGAGAUAGAAUGAUAUCUAUUUUUUUUAAAUGCAAGCACAAAUUUGUUAGACAUGGGGUGAUUCAAAACUUUGCAUUUUGUUUAGACACCAGUCUGAUGAUGCAGACUGUGAAUUGACCGCUAGAUUUUGUUUGUUUUUGUAUUGUUUGGUUGCCGUCUGUAUCCAACAUGUACCUUUCUGUAGGGACCAAUAUACUGAAGUAUUAUUUUUUGUUAAAUGUGCCUUGACUGUUACAGAAUUUGAAUUUUGAUUUAUUAUAUUAAAUAUAUAAGAAAAAUACUCCUUUACAUGGAAUAGAUUAAACUUUUAAAUUUACAUUUUGCAAGGUCAGGAUUAUUUUUGCUAGGGUAGAAUGCAAGUUUUGGUAGCCACUGCCAAGAGGAAUUUAUGUUUUAUUUAUUUGUUUGUUUGUUUAUAUGUUGUUUUUGUGUUUGAACCAAACAGCACAAGGUUAAAGUUCAAGAUCAAAUGAAAGCAUUAAUACCUUAGUUUCUGUAAUCUUUUUUUCUCAGCAAGGUAAUACAAUGUAGUGCAAUAAAUACUUUUUAUUGUUGAAUUUAUUCAUUUUAUUUAUAUAUAUAUAUUAUAUGUAUAUUUAUAAGCCAUGGAGUGAGCAGGUACAAUAUAGUGCUCAGUGAUAUCCCCUAAUCUAUGUAACUUUCUUCAAGUUAUAGUUAUUCCAUGUUUAUGCAUUGACAGAGAAAUUCAAUUAAUUGAAGUCCUAUGUUAACUUCUUUCAGACUUCCAGCAGAAGCAGGAAGAAAUAUCACUAUGAAAAAGCAGGGAAAAAGAGGUCAAAUUUAUAGAAGAAAAAAUGUGUCAAAAAUAAAGUCUAAUACUGUUAUGUUAACUUUUUUUUAUUUUGAACCUUAAUGUAAAGCCUUUUUUUUUGUCAAACCAAAGUCCUAUGUCUACAUUUUCUUUAGCUCUAGCGCACACAUUUGUUUAUUUAUUAGAAAAUUUAAUAGUCUUAUGCUUUUGAUUCUAUUUAUAACAGCUAGCACAUGUGAAAAUCAUAUAUCAUGUUAAAAAAUGCUUUUUAGUAAGAUUAUAGCAGAAAAAAAUCUGCCUUACUGUUAUUGAAGCAUUUCUGUAAAUGUUUUAUAUUGAGCUACACCAUUAAAUAUAUACAAUGUA